UUCGCAAUGCCCGAAAGGGUGACGAAGCGACGCCGCGUGCGGGAAGAAGGCCUUCGGGUUGUAAACCGCUGUCGGGAGUUAAGAAAUGCAAGGGUGUUAACAGCAUCCUUGCUUGACUAAGGCUCCGGAGGAAGCCACGGCUAACUCUGUGCCAGCAGCCGCGGUAAUACAGAGGCGGCAAGCGUUGUUCGGAAUUAUUGGGCGUAAAGAGCACGUAGGCGGCUGUGUAAGUCGGUUGUGAAAGCCUUCCGCUCAACGGGGGAACGGCAUCCGAUACUGCAUGGCUUGAGUGCGGGAGGGGGGAGUGGAACUUCUGGUGGAGCGGUGAAAUGCGUAGAUAUCAGAAGGAACACCGGCGGCGAAGGCGACUCUCUGGCCCGUAACUGACGCUGAGUGUGCGAAAGCUAGGGGAGCAAACGGGAUUAGAUACCCCGGUAGUCCUAGCCGUAAACGAUGGGCACUAAGUAGAGGGGUUUU
This 477-nucleotide ribosomal RNA is filed under the name Candidatus Brocadia fulgida. Its description in RNAcentral is "bacterial SSU rRNA". It matches the Rfam family "Bacterial small subunit ribosomal RNA", at positions 365 to 832 of the family's 1533-position model. The record is from RNAcentral. Lineage: Bacteria; Pseudomonadati; Planctomycetota; Candidatus Brocadiia; Candidatus Brocadiales; Candidatus Brocadiaceae.